RNAcentral lists this transfer RNA (69 nucleotides) under bovine gut metagenome. It matches the Rfam family "tRNA". From Rfam's summary of the family: Transfer RNA (tRNA) molecules are approximately 80 nucleotides in length. The record is from RNAcentral.
GGCCUUAGCUCAGUCGGUCAGAGCAGCGCUCUUAUAAGGCGUUGGUCCCGGGUUCAAGUCCCGGAGGCC